Molecule: non-coding RNA, 462 nt
Organism: Misgurnus anguillicaudatus (oriental weatherfish)
Lineage: Eukaryota; Metazoa; Chordata; Actinopteri; Cypriniformes; Cobitidae
Source: RefSeq, a predicted model, not a curated record
ACAAUAAAAAAUAGUAAAUUUCAUGCAUAACUUUAACUAUGAUUUAUUCAAUAUUUUUGGUGAAACAUUAUUAGAUUGUAUUAUUUGAGUAAAUGUAGGCAAAAAAAUUAUUAAAUCAGAUGUAAAUUUAAAAAUCACAAAGCCAACGGUUUUUUAAUCAGCAGCAGAAGAAACAGCGCCUCUUGCAGGAAGACAAACAACAUCAAAACUCCUCAAAAAUCCUGGGUGUGGCACACCGGUGGAGAUGCGCUGGGUCUCGUGUAGGAGAACUCACAGUUUCUGACACCGCACCGGACGUUCGCAUUAAAUAGCGCGAGGUACAAGUGCUGGUGGUCCAACUGUCUGGGUUCAAGAAGUGAUUCUGCAUGCUGUGAAUUUGAGAGACCUCUCAGAGUUUAUUCAGCUGAUUGUUUUUGUAACAUGUACAAUGUUUGCCAUUUUCAAUAAAAUAAUGUAUACAAA